AGGGCUCAUGUUGUCGACCUCCCCGUGGUGAGCCCUGUCACUGACCCCAGUCAGGCAAACAAUAACA
RNAcentral lists this non-coding RNA (67 nucleotides) under Leucoraja erinaceus (little skate). Lineage: Eukaryota; Metazoa; Chordata; Chondrichthyes; Rajiformes; Rajidae. The record is from RNAcentral.